AACGAACGCUGGCGGCGCGCCUAAUACAUGCAAGUCGAGCGAGAAGACGUAGCAAUACGUUUGUAAAGCGGCGAACGGGUGAGGAAUACAUGGGUAACCUACCCUCGAGUGGGGAAUAACUAGCCGAAAGGUUAGCUAAUACCGCGUACGCUCCUUGGACUUCGGUUCAGGGAGGAAAGCGAUACCGUGGGUAUCGCGCUCUUGGAUGGGCUCAUGUCCUAUCAGCUUGUUGGUGAGGUAACGGCUCACCAAGGCUUCGACGGGUAGCUGGUCUGAGAGGACGAUCAGCCACACUGGCACUGCGACACGGGCCAGACUCCUACGGGAGGCAGCAGUAAGGAAUAUUGCGCAAUGGGCGAAAGCCUGACGCAGCGACGCCGCGUGGGGGAUGAAGGUCUUCGGAUUGUAAACCCCUUUCGGGAGGGAAGAUGGAACGAGCAAUCGUUCGGACGGUACCUCCAGAAGCAGCCACGGCCAACUUCGUGCCAGCCGCCGCCGU
RNAcentral lists this ribosomal RNA (499 nucleotides) under uncultured bacterium. Its description in RNAcentral is "bacterial SSU rRNA". It matches the Rfam family "Bacterial small subunit ribosomal RNA", at positions 29 to 521 of the family's 1533-position model. The record is from RNAcentral.